ACCAUUAUUAAGAAGGUUGGGACUGUGGCACACCACGAAGUAGAAAUGUUCAAGAAUGCACAGCCAUAUAGCUCCAUGAAAAAUGCAAGGCCACUACGAGUAACUAAUAGUCGUCCGAUCAAGUUAUACAGCCCAAACUGAUGAUCACGGGCCAAAAUGUUAAGCUCAAUUAUGAUCAUGAAAUAAUAAUCUAUUAAAUGAAGCCCUAUCUUGUAUGACAAAUGUUGGUUAAAUAAAAGUGAUUUCUCUUAUGUUUUCAUUUAA
Long non-coding RNA from Dioscorea cayenensis subsp. rotundata (Guinea yam), 264 nucleotides. RefSeq lists it as uncharacterized. NCBI's taxonomy places the organism in Eukaryota, Viridiplantae, Streptophyta, Magnoliopsida, Dioscoreales, Dioscoreaceae. The record is from RefSeq and is a predicted model, not a curated record. The transcript has 3 exons.